CAAUAGCGUAUAUUAAUGUUGUUGCAGUUAAAAAGCUCGUAGUUGGAUUUCUGGUGGAAGCGACAGGUCCGCCCCUCACGGGGUGUGCACUAGCGUCUGUCUUUUGCCAUCCUUGCGAAGAAGCGGUGUGGCAUUAAGUUGUCGCGCCGUCUGACUCGCAUCGUUUACUGUGAAAAAAUUAGAGUGUUUAAAGCAGGCAAUUGCUGUGAAUACAUUAGCAUGGAAUAAUAAGAUAGGACUUUGGUACUAUUUUGUUGGUUUGCAUAUCAAAGUAAUGAUUAACAGGGACAGUUGGGGGUAUUCGUAUUUCGUUGUCAGAGGUGAAAUUCUUGGAUUUAUGAAAGACGAACUACUGCGAAAGCAUUUACCAAGGAUGUUUUCAUUA
This 385-nucleotide ribosomal RNA is filed under the name uncultured eukaryote. RNAcentral's name for it is "partial 18S ribosomal RNA". It matches the Rfam family "Eukaryotic small subunit ribosomal RNA", at positions 592 to 975 of the family's 1831-position model. The record is from RNAcentral.